This 583-nucleotide ribosomal RNA is filed under the name uncultured bacterium. RNAcentral's name for it is "partial 16S ribosomal RNA". It matches the Rfam family "Bacterial small subunit ribosomal RNA", at positions 355 to 1375 of the family's 1533-position model. The record is from RNAcentral.
CUAAGAAUAUCCGCAAUGGACGGAAGUCUGACGGAGCGACGCCGCGUGGAUGACGAAGGCCGAAAGGUUGUAAAGUUCUUUUGCUGGGGAAGAAUAACCGCAGGAGGGAAUGCCUGUGGGAUGACAAGAACCGGCGAAUAAGCCCCGGCCAACUACGUGCCAGCAGCCGCGGUAACACGUAGGGGGCGAGCGUUGUUCGGAAUUACUGGGCGUAAAGGGCAUGUAGGCGGCUUGGAAAGCCUGGCGUGAAAGUCUGCAGCUUAACUGCAGGGGUGCGCUGGGAACUGCUGAGCUUGAGUGACGGAGAGGGAGCUGGAAUUCCUGGUGUAGGGGUGAAAUCUGUGGAUAUCAGGAAGAACACCGAUGGCGAAGGCAAGCUCCUGGCCGAUGACCGACGCUGAGGUGCGAAAGUGUGGGGAUCAAAACAGGGUUAGAUACCCUGGUAGUCCACACAGUCAACGAUGUGCACUAGGUGCUGGGGCGGUAGCUUCGGUGCCGGAGCGAACGUGGUAAGUGCACCGCCUGGGGAGUAUGCUCGCAAGGGUGAAACUUAAAUGAAUUGACGGGGUCAUAGCUGUUUCCU